This 1411-nucleotide ribosomal RNA is filed under the name uncultured bacterium. RNAcentral's name for it is "16S ribosomal RNA". It matches the Rfam family "Bacterial small subunit ribosomal RNA". The record is from RNAcentral.
GAACGCUAGCGACAGGCCUAACACAUGCAAGUCGAGGGGCAUCGGGGCGAGGAGCAAUCCUUGCCGCCGGCGACCGGCGCACGGGUGAGUAACGCGUAUGCGACCUGCCCGUUGCAGGGGGAUAAUCGGGAGAAAUCCCGUCUAAUACCGCGUAAUGCCGCGGGGCUGCAUGGCCCUGCGGCCAAAGGAAGCGAUUCCGGCAACGGAUGGGCAUGCGUGACAUUAGCUAGUUGGCGGGGCAACGGCCCACCAAGGCGACGAUGUCUAGGGGUUCUGAGAGGAAGGUCCCCCACACUGGUACUGAAACACGGACCAGACUCCUACGGGAGGCAGCAGUGAGGAAUAUUGGUCAAUGGGCGCGAGCCUGAACCAGCCAAGUCGCGUGAGGGAUGACGGCCCUACGGGUUGUAAACCUCUUUUGUCGGGGAGCAAAUUCCGCCACGUGUGGCGGAGUCGAGAGUACCCGAAGAAAAAGCAUCGGCUAACUCCGUGCCAGCAGCCGCGGUAAUACGGAGGAUGCGAGCGUUAUCCGGAUUUAUUGGGUUUAAAGGGUGCGUAGGCGGACUGUCAUGUCAGCGGUAAAAUACGGGGGCUCAACCUCCGCCCGCCGUUGAAACUGACGGUCUUGAGUGGGCGAGAAGUAUGCGGAAUGCGUGGUGUAGCGGUGAAAUGCAUAGAUGUCACGCAGAACUCCGAUUGCGAAGGCAGCAUACCGGCGCCCAACUGACGCUGAAGCACGAAAGCGUGGGUAUCGAACAGGAUUAGAUACCCUGGUAGUCCACGCAGUAAACGAUGAAUACUAGCUGUCCGGGGCGAAUGAGCCCUGGGUGGCACAGCGAAAGCGUUAAGUAUUCCACCUGGGGAGUACGCCGGCAACGGUGAAACUCAAAGGAAUUGACGGGGGCCCGCACAAGCGGAGGAACAUGUGGUUUAAUUCGAUGAUACGCGAGGAACCUUACCCGGGCUCAAACGACACAGGAACGUACCUGAGAGGGUUCGGCUCUACGGAGCCUGUGUCGAGGUGCUGCAUGGUUGUCGUCAGCUCGUGCCGUGAGGUGUCGGCUUAAGUGCCAUAACGAGCGCAACCCCCAUCGACAGUCGCUAACAGGUCAGGCUGAGGACUCUGUCGAGACUGCCGGCGCAAGCUGCGAGGAAGGCGGGGAUGACGUCAAAUCAGCACGGCCCUUACGUCCGGGGCGACACACGUGUUACAAUGGCAGGUACAGCGGGAAGCCACCUGGCGACAGGGAGCGGAACCCGAAAGCCUGUCUCAGUUCGGAUUGGAGUCUGCAACCCGACUCCAUGAAGCUGGAUUCGCUAGUAAUCGCGCAUCAGCCACGGCGCGGUGAAUACGUUCCCGGGCCUUGUACACACCGCCCGUCAAGCCAUGGAAGCCGGGGGUGCCUGAAGU